RNAcentral lists this long non-coding RNA (924 nucleotides) under Zonotrichia albicollis (white-throated sparrow). RNAcentral describes it as "lncRNA (ENSZALG00000001711.1)". Lineage: Eukaryota; Metazoa; Chordata; Aves; Passeriformes; Passerellidae. The record is from RNAcentral.
CCAAUUUGGGGUCACCUGGGCACAGCUGGGCACACCUGGGCACACCUGGGCACUGCUGAACUCACCUGGGCACACCUGGGCACUGCUGCUUGGCUUGGGGGAACAUUUUCGGGUUUUUUUGGGGGAUUUUUUGGGGGUUCCUUGGGCAUCUUUUGGGGCUGUCGCUGCUGCACUGACUCACCUGGGCACCACUGGGCACACCUGGGCACUGCUGAACUCACCUGGGCACACCUGGGAGCUGCUGCUUGGCUCUGGGGUUGAUUCUUGGGGUCUUUUUUGGGAUUUCUGGGGCAGCUUUUGGGGUUCUUUGGGGUCUGUCGCUGCCUGGAGCUGCUGCACUGACUCACCUGGGCACAGCUGGGCACUGCUGAACUCACCUGGGCACACCUGGGAGCUGCUGCUUUGCUCUGGGGUGGAUUUUGGGGGGUUUUUCGGGGGUCUCUGAAGAACUUUUGGGGGUUCUUUGGGGUCUGGAGCUGCUGCACUGACUCACCUGGGCACACCUGGGCACAGCUGGGCACUGCUGAACUCACCUGGGCACACCUGGGCAUUGCUGGACUCACCUGGGCACACCUGGCAGCUGCUGCUUUGCUCUGGGGUGGAUUUUUGGGGUUUUUUUGGGGUUUUUUUGGGGUCUCUGAAGAACUUUUGGGGAUUCUUUGGGGUCUGUCACUGCCUGGAACUGCUGCACUGACUCACCUGGGCACCCCUGGCACACCUGGGCACCCCUGGCACACCUGAACUCACCUGGCUGCCGCUGCCGCUGCUGCUGCUGCAUUAAACUCAUCCCUGAGAGACCCCGGGAGUGGUUUUGGGGUUUGGGGGUUUAGGGGGGCCCCAAAAUUCACCUGAGAGGUCCCAAACUCACCUGAGGGGGCACCUGGGAAAUCCCAAACUCACCUGGGGGACCCCAAAACUCACCUG